RNAcentral lists this long non-coding RNA (10968 nucleotides) under Vitis vinifera (wine grape). RNAcentral describes it as "long non-coding RNA (VVIN_LNC002324)". The record is from RNAcentral. Lineage: Eukaryota; Viridiplantae; Streptophyta; Magnoliopsida; Vitales; Vitaceae.
CUUCUGAACACUGGUCUAUAAAAAGUUUAAACUCCAUAUUCUAUCAUAGCAAUUCUACCUACCAGAUAGAGGCAUAGACAAAGACUCUGACAAGAUAGUUCAAAUUAAAACCAUCAACCCUUCAUAUCCAUAUUUUAAGCAUCUUCAGUGUAGACUUCGCAGAAUGCCAUGCAGGUAGCCACCAGUCAUCACAAGAGACACAAGGGAUACAACACCUGCUGGAAACAGCUUUCCUGACUUCUUGAAGCGAGAACCCAUCACUCCAACAAGUGCAGCAGAGAGACCUGGAAAUGGAGAAGAAUGAAUUAGUGAACAUAGACUUGCAACAAACUUAACUGAAGAUGAAUCAGUGUCCCAGCGAUGUGGGUGAAAAGAUCAGUUGUUGGGCCCAUUAGUAAAAAGUGAACAUCUUUGUGUUGCAAAUAUGAAAACUCAGUACUUGCUCAUUUUGUCAUAAAUUAGCAUCAUCUUAGGACUUCUGAAAGAACUUCUGUUGCUUCUUAGCCAAAUCUCAAAUACACAGCUCCAUAUAAUUAAUAAUCUACCAUUGAUAACCUUUGAAUCUAAAUUAUCAACCAACCAACUUGGUUCAAUGAUGUACAAGUAGAGUUGCUCAAACUUCCAGUAGAAGCUUCUCAAACUGUCUAACAUAGCCCGAAAUUCUGCUGCAACAACCAAACCAUUUUAUUCAGUUUUAGAAUAGCCACUCUAGCAAGAAAGAUUGGGAUCAAAGAAUGCCUUUUUUUUUUUUUACCCAAAUAUCUAUAGAUUUAACACAGGAUAGACAUGGAAAAGAUCAUGAAGUUCCAAUGGAAGGCCAUUGUCUUCCCCCUUCUAAUUAAGGUAGCCUUGCAGCUUCCUUGAUCUUCAGAAGAAAUCCCCCCUGCGUCUUCUUCUCCAUGACAGAACAAUGGACCCAUAUUCUAAUUGACACAGUUUAUCUCUUCUACUUCAUACUCUAAACCAGCCUCUGAGAACCCAAACAGGCUAGUUUUGUUCAACCUUCCGGUCUGAAGUAAACCUCCAAAUACACAAUGCUCUGGGCUCUCUCCACAGCUGCUUCUCCACUCUGAGAACCCAAACAGGCUAGUUUUGUUCAACCUUCCGGUCUGAAGUAAACCUCCAAAUACACAAUGCUCUGGGCUCUCUCCACAGCUGCUUCUCCACUGUUAGGCUAUUCUUUACACACAGAUAGUUAUGGACUUCCCCACCCUCAACCGUCACCCUCCAGACAGUGGCACUGUUGAUUGGGCAUUUGACAAGUAAACAUUUGGCUAGCACCCUCAUUUAAGGGAAAACUUAGGUGGGCACUGAUCUUGUGCCAGAAGAUUGCACUUUACCAUGUUAAUCUCAGGCACCCCAUGAUUUUGGGCAGUUAAAAAAUGACAAACUCUAUUGGGUCCUAAUUUAGGAUGCUAUUGGGUUUUAAGCUUUUCGUUGAUCUAUUUGCAGAAAUUAUUGGCCUAUUCUCAAGUUGAUUCAAGAGCAAAUCAGUUAGGCCUCAUUUCAACUCUUUUAUAAUUAUUGAUGUUGAUAACUUGAAAAUAGCGAGUUCUGUCCAUUCUGAAUAAGUAAUAAGAAUAUUUAUAAGCCUACAUAAAUCAAAAUGCUCCAACAAUCUUCCCUCCAAUCUCUACUAUAAUUUCUCCUACAGUUUCUUCUGCAUCUUACCACUCCCCCUUGAGUUGGAGAAUAGGUAGUAACAACUCCCAGCUAGUCACAAAUAGAGUCAUGGGGUUCUUUUGAAAGGGCUUUGAUAAAGAUGUCAGUCAAUUGGUUCUUUCAUCAUAUAAGUGGGGUAAUGAUUUCAUUAACCCCACCUUCAAGUGAAUGGCACUUUGAUAUGUUUUUAGUCCCGUAUGAAAAAUGAGAUUGCUAGAAAUAUGGAUGACUACUUGUACCAAUAGAGAGGAACUGGAUCUGAUACUGGUAUGCCAAUUUCUUGCAUAACAGUUUUCAACCAAGUUAAUCCACAUUCUAUAUUGCUAUUUUCUGAUACUAUUACCUAUGAACUAGAACAAGCCACAACUAAUUAUUUCUUCUCCUUCAAGUUACAUGAUUACCUCCAAUAAAAUGCAAUAACCAGUUGUUGAUUUUCUGUCAUGGGAAGAUUUCAUCCGAUCAGAGGUAAUCUAUCCUUCAAUAUGAAGAUGUCCUGAGGAUCAUUUGAGAAGACCAUGACCAAUAGUUCCCUUGAGAUAUUUCAAUGUUGUAUGACUACAUUCAAGUAAGAAACUCAAAGUGAUCAUAAAUUGGUUGACAGCACUGACUACACAACACAUAUAUAUGGUUGAGUAAUGGUUAAGAAAAUCAACCUUCCCAUGAGCCCCCUACACAAUCUAGGUUCAUACCCUCACUCUCCAUCAUUCAUCAAAUUUUGAUUAGCUUCAAUAAACAUAACAACAGCAUCAACACCAAGCUAACUUGUCUCCAUAAUUGUGAAAGGCAUGCCUAGGCUCCAAGCGGCGUGAGGCCACCCUCCGACGCCUCGCCUGAUUGCAGGCCGGCCCCUUCGCGGAGGCGCUGAUUAGGCGCGCAAGGCACUCACUUCUCGGCCAGGUGUGACACCUCCAACAGGUGCACCUCUAUCCUCUGUUGUAGUCAUCUUCUUCUUCUUCUUCUUCUUUUGGUCAUCUUCUCACCCUCUGGCGAUGAGUUGCAGAGCAACAGAGGAAGAACGACAAGGGUUUUGUUUUUUUAAUUUCCUAAGACCAAAACGACGUUGUUUGGUCUGUUCUUUUAAAAGAACAGGGGCCAAAACAACGUCAUUUUGGAGUCUGAUCUUUUUAAAAACAAAAACAGGCAAAAUAAACAUCAUUUUGGCAUGUUCUUCUUCCAAAACCCAAUAUAUCCUCGUUUUGGACCUAUAAAACACAAAAAAAAUGCCCUAGCCUCCUAAACAGUGUGAAGAAGAGGAGAAGAGAAGAGAAGGGGAAAAAUAAAGGGAAAAUAGAGGAAAAUUUUCAGGCACUUGAUUAUAUUAUAUAAAAAUAUAUAUGUAAAAUAGGGUGCGCCUCACUUCACUAAAGCCCACGCCUUUGGUGCGCCUUGAGCCUUUUAAAACUAUGCUUUCUCUCUCCAAAAACGAAGAAUGAACUUCUACUGAGGCAAGCAAAUACCAUUCUUUGAUUUUGAAAUUUCAAUGCACAAAAAAUAACGAAGCUUAUCGACAUCUAUAGUAUGAAAGUUGUAUACAAGUGAUUAAACAAACUUUCAAUCCCAUUGAGUUCUGCUCAUGCCAUGAGAUACUCUUAUAUUGCUUAAAUUUUUCAAACAUACAUGAAGAGAUUGUUUGAAUAUAUAAAUAGACUUUUUAAAUUAAACAACAUACUCCCCUUAGACGAAAACCCAAGUGGCUAAGCCAUGAAGACUAUUUCAUUCAACUUGUCAUAAAGGAAUGCGUUUUGUUACGUCAACUUGACAAAGGGACCAAUUAUGAUUUGUUGCAAUAGAUACAAGAUUCUUACAAAAUUUAGUUUAGUCACAGGAUAAAAAGUCUCAAAAUAAGUCAAGGUCAUAGGUCAAGUGGAUCAUUUAGCCACCAAAGAAGCCUUCAAUCUAUCAAAUGUAUCAUCAAGAUUUCCCUUUAUGGUAGAGACUCGACAACAACCAACAAUUGGAACAUUAAGAGGCUUAAGAACAACACCCAAGGCAUGAUUUCACUUUAAAAGAAUGCAUUUUUGCUUCUAACUAGGACCAAAAAGAGUUUCAUUGUAAGACUUAGGAAAAGUAAUAGAAGAGAGAGAGGUAAAGAAGGCUCUAAAAAAGGGGGGCAAGGAAAAAGGAUGUUUAAAAUGAGUGUGUACCUUGACAAAUAGUGAUUGGGAGGUCCGAAGCCAAAUUACGGACACCAAGGGAUUGGCGGAGGUGACAACGAGGACUUCACUCCUUUAAGAGGAGAAUGCCAUUGUCAUUUGUGAACAUCGAACCUUUGAUAAGAAGGAAUAAAAAGAACUAGAAUAGGACUAACAGGUUUUGGAAGAAAAAGGCUCAUGUAAUUCAUUUCACACCAUAAAAUAAUAAGGUACAUCCUUAAAAAAAGGUAGCAUUAGCACAAGGAAAGUGUUUUCAUGAAGUAGGAUUGUAACACCAAUAUCCUUCUUAAGUUUGAGAAUAACCAAGAAAUAGACACUCUCAAAAACUUUGGGAGGAAGAUAAAAGGUUCUUGGUCAUGAAAUAACAUUUGAAAAGGAGACUUUCCAUAAAGAACUUGAGAAGACGAUCAUUUAGUAGAAGAGUCAUCAUGAAAACAUCUCCCCAACAUAACUUUGGUAUAGUCAUUUGAACUAUGAAGGCACAAGCAAUAGCAAGCAUAAGAUCAUUCUUACUUUCAAUAAUUCUCUUUUGUUAAGGUGUAUUAACACAUAAUAUUUGGAUGAAUAAUAUCAUUUCACUCAAAGAAACACUAAUAGUGUGAAUGUUUGUACUCAAGGACAUUGUUAACUAUAGGAAUUUUUAAUUUAACAUUCAAUUGAUUAGAAAUUUUAGCAUAGGCGUUAAAAACAUCAAAUACUUGGGUUUCAUCCUUGAGAACAUAUAACCAAGUCAUAUGGGAGAAAUCAUCUAUGAACUAAUUAAAAUAACAACCAAAUAAUCCAAAGUUGGACCCCAAAUAUUAGAAUGGACUAGCUAAAAGGGAUACAAAUAGGUUUAUUAAAGAAAAAUUUGGAAGUAGACUUAUAAUGUUUUAUCGAACUCAUAGGUUUCAUAAUUGAAGUGACUAAAAGAAGGUAAACUAGGAACUAAUCAACAAACACUAACAAAGGAAGGGUUUGAGAGCAAUUGUCACAAGCACGUUUCUUCCUUUGAACUUUUGUGUCUAUGCAAUGCUUUAACGCACCCUAAGACAGCCCAAGAGAGGCUACACUAAAUUGGAACAAAGAGAAAACCACAGAGCACACAAGAUUAUAGGGUCAAAUUCCCCCAACUUGUUUAUUUAUUCUCUAUAAAAUUCAAGACAAAACCUUCCAGCAAGACUCCUACAAUUUGCUUGGUGAGUUCAAAUCUUUGAGAAGGCACUCUUGCCCUCUUUAUACAAGUUGGUGGCACCAGCCACCCCCACAUAUCUAAGAACAAGCCUAUACUUUCAAAGGUCUUCAACAACUACUUUAUCCUUUUGAAAUUGUCUUCCCCGCUCAUGCUGCUACCACAUGUCCAAGACACUCAACCCAUUAUGCUCUUUAGAGACUUGGAUGCUCCACUUGCUUAGUCAAGUGUCUUGCCCCAUGACUCAAUCCAUGAUUUAGCCUACCAAGUGUCCUACCUCGUGACUUAGUCCACACUUAUGCUAAGUGUCUUACCUUAUGAGUUAGUCCACAUCUCAACCAUUCAAGCACCAGCCCUGCAUCUUAUAAGCCUGCUACAUGUGUCUCUAAGCAAUUUGUGUGCGUGCCAAGCCCUCUCUGGGCCACACAUUUAGCAACAUGCCUUGGUGCCAAUCUUGCCCUCGGCUCAUCACCCAUGUUGCUCCCCAUUAGCCCUUAGACAUGCUAAACAUGCUUACGUGCAUUCCCAUAUCGAGAUUGAGUCCAAGCCAAGGCAACCAACUCAUGUUUGUUUUGUACCCACACCCCAUGUCAUUGCACCCACGGGUUGCACCAUAUACCAUGGCUUAAUACCCAUGGGUGCGUGCUUGGCAAGGAUCACUACCACUCCUAACCCAUAUGUCCAAAGCCUGAGUGUGUGCCCUUGGUUAGGAGUGGCUUAUUUUUUUGAUAGGCAAAAGCAUGGUUAGGAGUGGCUUAUGCCACCUGCUACCUAUGCGUGCUAGUAGUGUAGGCCAUGUGAUGCUCAUGCCACCUACUGCCAUGCAUGCCAACACAUUAGAGGCAAUGUGUGAACAAAUUGCACGCUUGGAGACACAUGUUGGAGGAUCUCUUAAUGCAGACACCACUCUAUCUAUAAGAGUGGCAAAGGCUUGCAAUGAACCUAGUGUUUAGUGGCGUGCACUUGAAGGUUGUGAUAAGUUGGUUAAGAAUUGAGUUGUUGCCUUCACAAUUGAGAACAAGGCCAUCAUUGAGGAAUUCUAGGGCAAGAUCGAGUCCCUUUGAGGGGAGAUCACAUUGUUGAAGCGGGCUAUCAUUCAGGGAACACCAGCUACUUCAAAACCAACCCCAGCCAGGGUGCGAGUACCUAAUCUAAAGCCCUUUAGUGGGGUGCAUAAUGCAAAGGACCUAAAGAACUUCCUGUAAGACAUGGAGCAACAUUUUAGUGUUGUCUAUAUCCCUCUAGUCAAGCAGGUGACCAUAACCACAAUGUAUCUAUCUGGAGAUGCAAAACUUUGGUGGCACACGAGAAUGAGUGAUGAUGUUGAGUCAAGGAGGUCCCAUAUCACCACAUGGGAAACUCUGAAAAAGGAAUUGAGGGAUCAAUUCCUCCCCACUAAUGCUCCAUGGGUGGCUUGAGAAUCUUUGAGAAGAUUGAAGCACAUGGGUUUUCUACAAGAAUAUAUGUCAAAAAGUUGAGUUCCUUGAUGUUGGACAUCAAGAACAUGUUCAAGGAAGACAAACUAUUCAACCUCAUGUCUAGGUUGCAAGGGUGAGCCCAGACUAAAUUGUGGACUGGAGAUUUCCUUGUUGCAAUGGCUACAACAAAUUGCUUAGUGGACUAUAAGAUAGUCGAUGCCAUCUCCACCACCCAAAACUCAAAAGCUGAGGGGACAAAGAAGUCGAGGGUAGAGGGAAAACCUCCUAAAAAAGAGUUAGAAGGAAACAGGGUCAAUUGCAACCCUAAAACAAGUGGAGGAAACCACUGAGGUGGUGCAAUAGACAUCCAAAAUGGCAAGUUGUUUCAUCUGAAAUGGACCUCAUCAUGCUAGAGACUGUCCAAGGAGGGGAAAAUUGUUAGCCCUCAUGGCUACUGAUGCUAAGGGAGACUCAAAUUCAGAUGAGUCUACUGUACAAGUCGAUCCUUUGCAAUGGUUGAAUGUUCUUCACCCAAAGGGCUUUAUUCACAAUGAGCUGAUGGACGUGCCAUUGUUGGUGAAUGGAAAAAGGGGGAAUGCAAUGGUUGAUAGUGGUGUAAACCACAAUUUUGUGGCUAGCAAGGUAGCAACCGAAUUUGGGUUGAAUUUAGAGGAAGAUGGCUGCAAAAUCAAGGCCAUGAAUAGCAGAGCCACGCAAAUUGAUGGCAUUGCUAAGAAGGUUCAUUUUUAGGUGGAAGAUUGAAGGAGCACCUGUAGCCAUUUAGCAAUACCCCUAGAUAACUUUGAUGUGAUUUUGGGCAUGUAAUUCUUUCUACAAGUUAAGAAGGUGUUGCUCCCUCACCUUAAUAGGCUAAUGAUCUUGGAGGAAAGUCAGUUGUGCUUUGUGAAUGCUCUGAGGGGAAAGGUUGCUGGGAAGGGCCAGACAAGCAUGUUUUCUAUCAUCCAACUCCAUAGGAGUCUAAAGAGGGUCAACAACAACAUAAAGGAGCAACAUACAAGGAAGCAACUAAUUGAGUUGUUAGAAGCAGGUUUGGAAAAGGUGUUACAGUGAACAAGACAGAAGUUAAGCAUGGAGGAAGGACUUUGACAGCAUUGGCUAAACCCUUUUAUUGGCAACAGUGAGGUAAGGAAGUCUGAGCACAUGGAAGGCUUUGCAUGAAAUACCAAUUGGAUAAAGACAUGGAAUGGAAGUUCCCAAUCAGAGCUGAAUUAGGCAUAUGAGAAGGUCAUCUUCAGGUGGGGGUGGCUUUGUAAGCACCUUUUCUCAAACGAAUUUGCACCAAAAGCCUCAUGGGCUGGCAUGUACCCAUGAGGACCUUAAGAGUGAGACAAGGCGGAGAAUGAUGUAACAAGUGCAGUGUGUGCAACCUAAGUGGAGUAGGUGGAACAGCAUUUGGAAUGGCAUGAGGGAUUGCAUGCAGUAACGUGACAUGUUGCAGCCAACACAACACAGAAUGUGCCACUUUAGACAAUGCAGCGUGUCACUAGCAGCACAACAACCACAACACUUUGACUCAAAGUAUGUGGCUCAAAGGUCUGACACGAUGCCACCAAAACUUCCUAAGAUGCUCCUUCCUCGACAACUUAUUGACCAUCGAAUUGAGUUGUUGUCGGGAGCUAAGCCUCCAGCACAAGUGCCCUGUUGGAUGACUCCACUGGAAUUGGUGGAAUUAAGGAAGAAACUAAAUGAGUUACUGGAUGCAGGUCUGAUCCAGCCCUUGACAGCACCUUGUGGAGCAUUAGUGCUCUUUCAGAAGAAGCAAGAUGAGACCCUUCACAUGUCUGUUGACUAUCAAGCUUUGAACAAGGUAACUAUCAAAAACAAACAUUCUAUGCCACUAGUUGUAGACUUGUUUGAUAGAUUAUCCAAAGCCACCUACUUCACAAAGCUGGACUUGCAUUUUGGGUAUCGGUAAGUCCAAAUUGCACAAAGGGAUGAGGGGAAGACUGCAUGUUACACGGUAUGGCAUCAAUGAAUUCUUAUGAUGUUGUUUGGGCUUACCAAUGCCCUUGCUACUUUCUGCAACUUGAGGAAUUAUGUCUUAUUCGAUUUCUUGGACUGUUUUGUGGUAGUGUACUUGGAUGACAUGGUCAUCUACAGUCAGAUUCUAGAUGACCACGUCAUUCACCUUGGGAAGGUGUUGCAGCGGCUAAGACAACACCAGCAAUACGUGAAGAAGGAAAAAUGUGAAUUUGCCUAGACCCAAAUAAAGUUUCUAGGAAACUAGAUCUCUAAGGGGAAAAUUCAGAUAGACGAGACUAAGUUGGAGGCAAUAAGGGAUUGGUCUGCCCUUGCAAAGGUAACAAAACUAUGUUCUUUCCUUGGUUUAACUAAUUAUUAUCAUCAUUUUAUAAAAGGUUACUCCAAGGUCACUGCUACUUUAACUGGUUUGUUGAAGAAGGAAACAAAGUGGGAUUAAGAGUCGGACUCUAAGACAACUCUCCAAAGUCCAAAGAAAAAAGAAUUAGAAGAUGUUUGGAAGCAUGUUCAUGAAAACUAUUCUUUAAAACAUUUCAUGAUAAUAAAAAAUAUAUAUAUUUUUGUUUUAGAAGCGCAAGCACUUAAACAAUUGAAAAUGCCAAAAAUUCAAAGUCUUUUUAACAUGCCCAUAGUUUUUAAUUCUUAAGAUACAAACAAUUGUUAAAAAGGAAACUAAAUAAAAUCAUCAUUUACCAAAGAGGCCUGCUUGUGGUUUUUUUUUUCUUUUAAUCGUUAUAUGAGAAAUUUUCAAUAUUCUUUUUUUUUUUUUAAUUUACACUAAUGUUAGUGUCCACAUCAAUAUAGCAGUAUCAUUCACACUACUUGUUCUUUUUGGUUAGGUUUUAGUUGAUGAUAAAGGAUUAGAUUGAAUUAGAGGCUUGGAUUAAUAGUUAAUGGAAUUUUUAGUUUGGCAAAAGCGUUGUAUACAGUAUUUUGAGCAAAAGAAUUCUGAAUUUAAAAUUCAUAGCAUCAAGACUUUAUUCUAUAUGCAUAAUUAUGCAUAUAUGUAUUCGUGUAUUUUUUGUUCUUUUCUAUUAAUUCUAUUGCAAUUACACAAUUUUGUUGUAUUAGACAAAAGCCACAAAUUACACCAUCAAAACCCCUAAAACACCUAUUUCUACACCAAAUCCUCUAUUAACCGAUUCCUAAUCACCCUUUAACCUGUGCAACAAAAAACCUAACCCUAACUCCCAAUUAAAGUGCAACCGAUUCUAUCUUUCCCUAAAACUUGAAUUUUCUCUUUAUCAACUCAAUAAUCAUGGUUACAAUACAAACAGAUGUUUUCUCUCUUUGGUGUGGCUUGAGUUCUCUCCUUCUCGGUUAAGAAGGCACUCCCUAGGUGGCAUGGUUCCUUUGUGGGUAAAGCCCGCAACAAGGCUUGGAAGGUGGCCCCUAUGUUUUUUUUGGAUAGUGUGGAAAGAAAGGAACUUGCUAGUGUUUGAUAAUGCAGGGAUUUCGAUCCAUAAAAUUAAAAAUUCUUUUGUAUGUAAUUUGUGGUCUUGGUUUAGGGCGUUUGUAGAUGUGAGACUUAUUUCCCUUGUUAGCUUUAUUGAUUGGUUAGGUUCUAAGCAAGGGUAAGUGAUGUGUUUCUCUCCCUCUCUCUUUUGGGUGAGCCCUUGGGUGGCUGGUGUAUACUUCAAGUAUACUUGGGGACGCUAUUUUGGCACCUCUUUUUAUUAAUUUAUAUUUUCACUGAUCUUACAGGGAAAAAAAAAACAACCUUUAAUUAAAGUUUAAGGCCUUUACACAAGAUUGUGAUUCCCCAAGAAAAAUAUCACUUGGAUUAAAGAUAGAUGUCCUAGCGAUAAAACUUUGGAAGAGAAUAACUUUUUAGAGUUGAUGUCCGCUGCUGUUGUAGGCAAUGAACAGUCUGAAAAGCUAACGUAUGUGAGAGUUAGAGCAUCUCUCUUGAUUUUGAAGGCAAAUACAGCUUUGAAUUUUCCUCUCAGGUAAAGUAUGUCAAGAGUGCUAAUAAAAAAAUGCCUUCUCAUACUCGGUAAGAUUGAAUGAGCAAUUCUGGAAAAGAUAAUUACAGAAAACGCUAACAAUGGGUUCACUCUUUUUCGUUAAUGCAUAAGAUAAUCUUAUAUGCUGAUCUCAAACAAGACAUUAUUAUUAAGAAUUAUACGAUCUCUUACCAAGCCCCAAGAAUGAUGCAAAAGCUGGUCGUGUGGGAAGUUGAGUAUAGACAUAAUACAGAAGCAAGGCUGAUAGUCCACCUGCCGCAAGAGACUUCUGGCUGCCACUCUUCAUAUAGCCCAUAACUCCACCGACUGUUAGGAGAUUGAUCAAAAUCAGAUAGAAAGCGCAGCGCACAGGGAUGCCAAGAAGUUGCACAAGUAAAACACCAGCACAAUCCACUAGAAAAUGAAGUUACCUCCGACCAGGGCAGCGUAGCCCAGAGUCAACUUUUGGGACAUAGACAUGGCAAUUUUGUUAUUGCUUUCGUCCGAUCCGCCCUCGCCCUUAUUGUCGUCGUUGUCGUGAUCACCACCACCACCGCCUCCGCCGCCACCGUCACCACCACCGCCUCCGUCACCACCACCGCCUCCGUUUCCACCCU